Molecule: transfer RNA, 74 nt
Filed under: Actinocorallia herbida
Lineage: Bacteria; Bacillati; Actinomycetota; Actinomycetes; Streptosporangiales; Thermomonosporaceae
Rfam family: tRNA
About the family: Transfer RNA (tRNA) molecules are approximately 80 nucleotides in length.
Source: Rfam by way of RNAcentral
GCGUCCGUACCCCAACAGGCAGAGGGACCACGUUGAGGACGUGGAUGUUGCCGGUUCGACUCCGGCCGGACGCA